Mytilus trossulus (common blue mussel) is the source of this 1135-nucleotide long non-coding RNA. RefSeq lists it as uncharacterized. The transcript has 5 exons. NCBI's taxonomy places the organism in Eukaryota, Metazoa, Mollusca, Bivalvia, Mytilida, Mytilidae. The record is from RefSeq and is a predicted model, not a curated record.
UCAGAAUCAAAAGAAUGCAGUGUAUUGUAUGCAGAAGUUGAUAAGGAACAACAUAAAGGCAAACAGCGCAAGCCAGUUAAAGAAGAUUCAGACGAACCUGCCAAUGCAGAAUAUGCUUCUGUUGUUAAAUCCAAAUCUAAAAAGGUACACUACAAAGAAGAUGCAAUUGAAACAGAACAUAAUGAAUAUGCAGUUGUUGACAAAUCAAAUAAAGAUUGCACAGAGAAUGAAAGUGUUUAUGCAAACCAAGAUGACGAACAGUUGAUUCCUCAUAAACCUUUAGAAGCACAAUCAUCUGGACGGAGUACAAAUCAGGAUGGCUUGACAUAUAUAGAAGUUUCCUUCACAAGUAACCAAUCAGAUCGACGUCCAAUAAUUGGAGCUGAAUCUAAAACUGACUAUGUUGACAUAGAUUUCACAAGGAAAGCGGACCCAUUACCAGAUGAUUCUGAUUAGUGACCUUUUUAACACUUUUACAUUAAUUUUGUAUUUAAGUGAAUUGUUUUACAAUAGAGAAUCAUUGUAUAUAGUGUUUGAAGUACAUCACUUGGCACUCGCAAAUAUGUGAGAGGGUGUUGUCGGGAUGUAGUGAAAAAAAGUAGUAUAAGUAAAGUAUUUAUAUAAGACCAAAAAUAGAAUACAGAACAAUGAGGUGAAAAAACACUAAAAAUGCGCUUGGCAAUUGAAGAAAAAAGAACAUUGAGGGAAAAGAAAAAGAAAAAUACUCCGUGUUGAAAAAAGUGUAUUUUCACCUAUAAUGAUUUUUCUUUUACAAAUUUUGACUUGGAUAGAGAGUUGUUUUAUUCGCCCUAAUACCUUAUCUAUUUAUAUCCAAUUAGAAAACUAAGAAAAACAGAAAAAAAAAGAAAAAAAAAGAAAACCCUUUCCAAAACCUCAACAUCUUUUUCUCUCUGAAUAGUUAGAUAAUUCCGACCCGACCUAUCAAUUCAUUCCUGAUGAAUAAAUGUAGUAUUGUAUUGUUUUUCUCUCAACUCAAAACGUUUUCUGUUCAAUGUGUAUCUCUUUAGUGUAUAUUGCUCUACUUUUCAUUUGAGAGUUCUGUUGCGAAAUGAAAAAUGAAACGUCCAAAUUCACUUUAUGGAGGAACGAAUAACAUGAAUAAAUGUACUGUAUA